GGGAGGGUAUACUCAGUGGUAGAGUGCAUGCUUAGCAUACAUGAGGUCCUGGGUUCAAUCCCCAGUACAUCCA
Molecule: non-coding RNA, 73 nt
Organism: Camelus ferus (Wild Bactrian camel)
Lineage: Eukaryota; Metazoa; Chordata; Mammalia; Artiodactyla; Camelidae
Source: Rfam